GGGGCUGGGGCUCAGUGGUAGAGCGCUCGCCUAGCAUGUGUGAGGCUCUGGGUUUGAUUCUCAGCACCA
This 69-nucleotide transfer RNA is filed under the name Ictidomys tridecemlineatus (thirteen-lined ground squirrel). Its description in RNAcentral is "Spermophilus tridecemlineatus (thirteen-lined ground squirrel) tRNA". It matches the Rfam family "tRNA". From Rfam's summary of the family: Transfer RNA (tRNA) molecules are approximately 80 nucleotides in length. Lineage: Eukaryota; Metazoa; Chordata; Mammalia; Rodentia; Sciuridae. The record is from Rfam by way of RNAcentral.